Amphiprion ocellaris (clown anemonefish) is the source of this 1063-nucleotide long non-coding RNA. The record is from Ensembl. Lineage: Eukaryota; Metazoa; Chordata; Actinopteri; Pomacentridae.
CUGUUUAUAUUCAUUAAUCUGAAGUGUGGCUGUCUAAACACACUAAAUUUUCCAAAUCACAUAGAAGACAGUACACUCAAAAAUCAAGCGGAGAAAGGCAUCAAAGCAGCACAACAAGUCAAGGCAUGUUCCAACACGCCACCAGCAGCCGGAUGGGGUGUAUGAGCCUGCUCCUAGACCACAAGAGGGAGGAGCAGAGGAUCAGAGAAGGGGGGAAACCCAGAAAAGACCAAGCAUGACUCAGCCUGCUUCAAGAAGUCUGCAGCUUAGUGAGGGAAACUGGAGGAACUGGAUCAUAUUCAGAGGUGGUGUGAAAGAAUGAAGAAUCCGUCCCUUUAUCAGGAAAGCGUUGCGGCUGCCAACUUUUCGCUCUGGAUGAGUCCCACGCCGAGCUCGUGGAUGAACGCUGGUUUCGAGGAGGCAGCUGGUAGAGCCUGGAGCGCAUGAGAGUCUGUACCUGCCAUCUGCCAGACCGCUGGGUAAUGGAUGAAACCUGGAUGUUUUCUGACGGAGCUGGUGCGAGCCGAGGACGACCUCCACCCGACCAGAGUGCAGACGGACCGGUCGCCUCUUGGCUUCGCUUCGUUCUCUGAUCUGCAGGACGAGCUCUGUGGAUCGUCUGCUGCAGAAAUAGGCCCAGUGUUACUUACCGUCUGAUGAUUGGAACGGCGGUGUAAUGUGUGAAAUGUCUUAUUGUAGAAGCUCAUCUUUCUGCCUCCCUACAGUACUCAGGGGAAGACUGUAAUCUGCAGGUAAAAAUAGUUCCCAGCAUUUUUAAACAGCUUCCACAGCAAACUGCAAGUAGAACAACGUCAAAACAACAUUUUCUGAGGGUUUUAGAUUGAAUUGGAUGGAGAUUUUAGCGUCUCUCUGAGAACAAUACCAACGUGUCUGCAGUUUAACCCUCUGGCUUGAGCGCAUUAUGCUGGGGAAAGAAAAAAUAGAGGCCCUUUUUAAUCUGCAGAUCACCCAAGGAGGCUCUCAUCCACCUGGGACCCCUCCCUGGAGGUGUGCUGUUCCACUGCUGAUUGCCUCGCUGUAUUUUAGCAGCAAUGCACCAUUC